GAUGAACGCUGGCGGCGUGCCUAAUACAUGCAAGUCGAGCGAACAGACGAGGAGCUUGCUCCUCUGACGUUAGCGGCGGACGGGUGAGUGACACGUGGAUAACCUACCUAUAAGACUGGGAUAACUUCGGGAAACCGGAGCUAAUACCGGAUAAUAUAUUGAACCGCAUGGUUCAAUAGUGAAAGACGGUUUUGCUGUCACUUAUAGAUGGAUCCGCGCCGCAUUAGCUAGUUGGUAAGGUAACGGCUUACCAAGGCAACGAUGCGUAGCCGACCUGAGAGGGUGAUCGGCCACACUGGAACUGAGACACGGUCCAGACUCCUACGGGAGGCAGCAGUAGGGAAUCGUCCGCAAUGGGCGAAAGCCUGACGGAGCAACGCCGCGUGAGUGAUGAAGGUCUUCGGAUCGUAAAACUCUGUUAUUAGGGAAGAACAAAUGUGUAAGUAACUAUGCACGUCUUGACGGUACCUAAUCAGAAAGCAACGGCUAACUACGUG
This 497-nucleotide ribosomal RNA is filed under the name uncultured bacterium. RNAcentral's name for it is "partial 16S ribosomal RNA". It matches the Rfam family "Bacterial small subunit ribosomal RNA", at positions 28 to 507 of the family's 1533-position model. The record is from RNAcentral.